AGCGAACGUUCGCGGCGGGCCUAACACAUGCAAGUCGAACGCGAAAGCCCUUCGGGGUGAGUAAAGUGGCGCACGGGUGAGUAACGCGUAGGUAAUCUACCUUCCGACGGGGGAUAACUA
Molecule: ribosomal RNA, 120 nt
Filed under: uncultured bacterium
Lineage: Bacteria
Description: partial 16S ribosomal RNA
Rfam family: Bacterial small subunit ribosomal RNA
Source: RNAcentral